This is a non-coding RNA of Astyanax mexicanus (Mexican tetra), 515 nucleotides long. Lineage: Eukaryota; Metazoa; Chordata; Actinopteri; Characiformes; Acestrorhamphidae. The record is from the annotation of a RefSeq genome assembly.
ACUUCAUGACUGAGAGCUGCUACAGCAACUUCUUCACCCACAGCAGCCAUGACUUUAAUCCCCAUCUUCAUCUGGACCCUGAUCUUCUGCUCUCAAGAGUCCAUAGGUCAGGUGACUGUGACUCAGAGUCCUGCAGUGAAAUCUGCUCUUCCAGGAGACACCGUCACAAUUAGCUGCAGGACCAGUCAGGGUGUUAAUGGCAACUACUUACACUGGUAUCAGCAGAAACCUGGAGAAGCUCCUAAACUCAUGAUUAUUUAUGUGAAUCAGCUUCAGUCUGGUUUUGCAGUUCGUUUCAGUGGUAGUGGAUCUGGAUCUGACUUCACUCUGACCAUCAGUGGAGUCCAGCCUGAAGAUGCUGCAGAUUAUUACUGUCAGGGGGAGUUUUAUAUCAGCAGCACCUAUCUGUUCACACAGUGAUAUAACGCCGUACAAAAACCUCCGUCACUCAGUCCGGCUGCACAGAGACUGCACUGCUGCAGUGGGAUCUCCUGCAGGUGCUGAGAUGGAGGAAG